RNAcentral lists this non-coding RNA (89 nucleotides) under Pseudomonas sp. 29. Lineage: Bacteria; Pseudomonadati; Pseudomonadota; Gammaproteobacteria; Pseudomonadales; Pseudomonadaceae. The record is from RNAcentral.
UGUGGGAGCGGGCCUGCUCGCGAUUACGGAGUGUCAGGCAACAUUGAUGUGUCUGACAGACCGCUAUCGCGAGCAGGCUCGCUCCCACA